UCUGUGAUUCUCUGUGUAAGC
RNAcentral lists this non-coding RNA (21 nucleotides) under Arabidopsis thaliana (thale cress). The record is from RNAcentral. Lineage: Eukaryota; Viridiplantae; Streptophyta; Magnoliopsida; Brassicales; Brassicaceae.